UGGGGAAUAUUGCACAAUGGGCGAAAGCCUGAUGCAGCAACGCCGCGUGCGGGAAGAAGGCCUUAGGGUUGUAAACCGCUUUCAGCAGGGAAGAAAAUGACGGUACCUGCAGAAGAAGGUGCGGCCAACUACGUGCCAGCAGCCGCGGUGACACGUAGGCACCAAGCGUUGUCCGGAUUUAUUGGGCGUAAAGAGCUCGUAGGCGGUUUGGUAAGUCGGGUGUGAAAACUCUGGGCUCAACCCAGAGAGGCCACUCGAUACUGCUAUGACUUGAGUACGGUAGGGGAGUGGGGAAUUUCUAGUGUAGCGGUGAAAUGCGCAGAUAUUAGAAGGAACACCAGUGGCGAAGGCGCCACUCUGGGCCGUAACUGACGCUGAGGAGCGAAAGCGUGGGUAGCAAACAGG
RNAcentral lists this ribosomal RNA (405 nucleotides) under uncultured bacterium. RNAcentral's name for it is "bacterial SSU rRNA". It matches the Rfam family "Bacterial small subunit ribosomal RNA", at positions 355 to 776 of the family's 1533-position model. The record is from RNAcentral.